This is a long non-coding RNA of Symphalangus syndactylus (siamang), 521 nucleotides long. RefSeq lists it as uncharacterized. NCBI's taxonomy places the organism in Eukaryota, Metazoa, Chordata, Mammalia, Primates, Hylobatidae. The record is from RefSeq and is a predicted model, not a curated record.
CCCACAGAGGGAGGAUUUAGACCAGCCCUAGCCAGAGAGUAAUAGCCCAUCCCAGCAGUCAAAACCUGAAUUCCAGCAACUCCUGCCACCAUGAGGUCCGUCCUGACUUAGCGUGUUUAAUAGCCGCAGCCUCACUGUCAGCCUUGCCUUCAAACCUGGACCCAGUGGCUCAGGAUGGUUGCAAAGCUUCCACAACCACCACCCCCCACCCACCCUGCAUUCCAAGAUUCCUUGAAGACCAACUUUAAGGGCACUCAUGACAGGUGGCAAUUAAACAGUAAGAAAGCAUCUGGCAUAAAUUAAGUGAACAGAUCACCAAAUCAUUUGGAAAACAACACAUUUAUUUGGCACUGAUUUUGGCAUUUGGAGGGAACACACUUAGGAGUAAGGGUCUGCAUCCAAGAAGCUUACAUUCUAAGAGAGAAAAGAAGAUAAAGGUAAAUAACAAUGGAAGGCAAAAUGGAAAGAUUGUAAGGGUGGUUCAAAAGGCUCUGAGUGGCAAAAAAAAGAGAUCACAUCUU